ACUGGCAAGGAUGAUAGACACUUGCCCUCACUGAGACUGUCAUUUGUUGAUGAGAGCAAUGUUCUGAGCCAGU
This is a small nucleolar RNA of Ochotona princeps (American pika), 73 nucleotides long. RefSeq annotates it as small nucleolar RNA SNORD103/SNORD85. The record is from RefSeq and is a predicted model, not a curated record. Lineage: Eukaryota; Metazoa; Chordata; Mammalia; Lagomorpha; Ochotonidae. The transcript has a single exon.